GAUGAACGCUGGCGGCGUGCCUAAUACAUGCAAGUCGAGCGAACAGAUGAGGAGCUUGCUCCUCUGACGUUAGCGGCGGACGGGUGAGUAACACGUGGAUAACCUACCUAUAAGACUGGGAUAACUUCGGGAAACCGGAGCUAAUACCGGAUAAGAUAUUGAACCGCAUGGUUCUAUAGUGAAAGACGGUUUUGCUGUCACUUAUAGAUGGAUCCGCGCCGCAUUAGCUAGUUGGUAAGGUAACGGCUUACCAAGGCAACGAUGCGUAGCCGACCUGAGAGGGUGACCGGCCACACUGGAACUGAGACACGGUCCAGACUCCUACGGGAGGCAGCAGUGGGGAAUCUUCCGCAAUGGGCGAAAGCCUGAUGGAGCAACGCCGCGUGAGUGAUGAAGGUCUUCGGAUCGUAAAACUCUGUUAUUGGGGAAGAACAAAUGUGUAAGUAACUAUGCACGUCUUGACGGUACCUAAUCAGAAAGCCACGGCUAACUACGUG
Molecule: ribosomal RNA, 497 nt
Filed under: uncultured bacterium
Lineage: Bacteria
Description: partial 16S ribosomal RNA
Rfam family: Bacterial small subunit ribosomal RNA
Source: RNAcentral